This is a long non-coding RNA of Drosophila sulfurigaster albostrigata, 1011 nucleotides long. RefSeq lists it as uncharacterized. NCBI's taxonomy places the organism in Eukaryota, Metazoa, Arthropoda, Insecta, Diptera, Drosophilidae. The record is from RefSeq and is a predicted model, not a curated record. The transcript has 3 exons.
UAUCGAGAUAUGCAUUUUUCGAGAAUUUCAUUAAAACAAAAGCGGGCAACGGCGAGUUGCGGACGGUGGAGACAAAAGAAUUAUAAAUAAAUUGUUAAGCGUUAACGCAAACGUUACGUUAACGUGGUCGAGAGCAGUCUAGACCAAAUAAAUCAAGAUGCAGAUGGGUUCAUUAAACGUUCAGCACAAAGCACAACUCAAUUCGAACACACAACUCAAGCAAACUUGACCCAAACGAGAGAAGAUUGACUGAAGUCCAAAGUGCAAAACUGAAUCCCAAUACGCAAUGCUUAAUAUAUUUUUUUGCUAUUCAUGGUGGAUAAACGAAACGAAAGCACGCAGAAUUCACAGGAUGUGGCAGGACAUUGAAGUGGCCAUCACGAACCACAAUUACCGCACUUUAUAGCACUCAUAAUAUUACUGCUUAUCCAGGCAACUACUAUUCAAGCUUGACACACUUGAGUGUGUCAAGUUUCAGCGACUCUUUGCUUAAUUGUGCCAAAAGAUUUCGGGGGUCUUAUCGACUGCGCGUCAUAAGCCUAUUUAUAAGUUGGCCUAAUCUGGCUGAGGACUCUCCUACGCUAUCCACCGACCCACCGUUGUGCACAGUUGGUCCUUUUUUAAUGGGCGUUGCGGCCAUUUUGAAUGCAGAUGCUGUAACAGAAAGUGUAGUUGUAGUUGUGGCCGUAACUGACCGCUGGCAGUGUCGCUCAGCGGGGCGACAACGUCGGAAGCAUUGUGACUUGUCUCCGGACUCCGGCCUGGACUUGUGCGUAACCUUUGAACCAUUAAGAUAAGCGCCACCAGCAAAAAAAAAAGCCCAGAGAAAUCUCCCAAAGUGAGCGCAAGAGAGCAAAAGAAAGAGACGAAAAGAGAGCGGAGCGACAUAGAGAAAAAGCAAAAAUCGUUGGACGCAAAACGUGGCUGACAAACAAAAGCGCAGAAAUGAAUUAUUUCACUCGCCAGGGUUUUAUAUACUCAGCAAAUAGUCUGGCAGAUGGGCAUGACCGA